AGAGUUUGAUCAUGGCUCAGAACGAACACUGGCGGCGUGGUUUAGGCAUGCAAGUCGAACGGGAAAGCCCUUCGGGGUGAGUAUAGUGGCGAACGGGUGAGUAACGCGUGGGAAACCUACCCUUUGGUGGGGGAUAACAGGCCUAACGGCCUGCUAAUACCGCAUACGUCCCCGAGGUCGCAUGGCCUUGGGUAGAAAGGUGGCCUCUCCAUGGAAGCUGCCGCUGAAGGAUGGUCCCGCGUCCCAUUAGCUAGUUGGUAGGGUAACGGCCUACCAAGGCGACGAUGGGUAGCCGGCCUGAGAGGGUGUCCGGCCACACUGGGACUGAGAUACGGCCCAGACUCCUACGGGAGGCAGCAGUCGAGAAGCUUCGGCAAUGGGCGAAAGCCUGACCGAGCGACGCCGCGUGAGCGAUGAAGGCCCUAUGGGUUGUAAAGCUCUGUCAGAUUGGGACGAAAACUUCGAGGUCAAUACCCCCGAAGCUUGACGGUACCAUCAGAGGAAGCACCGGCUAACUCCGUGCCAGCAGCCGCGGUAAUACGGAGGGUGCGAGCGUUGUUCGGAUUCACUGGGUAUAAAGGGUGCGUAGGCGGCGCGAUAAGUCAGGGGUGAAAUAUGUCGGCUCAACCGACAAACUGCCUCUGAAACUGCCGCGCUUGAGGUCGGGAGAGGAAGGUGGAAUUCCAGGUGUAGCGGUGAAAUGCGUAAAUAUCUGGAGGAACACCAAUGGCGAAGGC
RNAcentral lists this ribosomal RNA (737 nucleotides) under uncultured bacterium. RNAcentral describes it as "bacterial SSU rRNA". It matches the Rfam family "Bacterial small subunit ribosomal RNA", at positions 8 to 722 of the family's 1533-position model. The record is from RNAcentral.